RNAcentral lists this ribosomal RNA (367 nucleotides) under Salmonella enterica. Its description in RNAcentral is "partial 23S ribosomal RNA". It matches the Rfam family "Bacterial large subunit ribosomal RNA", at positions 711 to 1075 of the family's 2925-position model. The record is from RNAcentral. Lineage: Bacteria; Pseudomonadati; Pseudomonadota; Gammaproteobacteria; Enterobacterales; Enterobacteriaceae. RNAcentral also lists the same sequence under 4 other names.
AGACCCGAAACCCGGUGAUCUAGCCAUGGGCAGGUUGAAGGUUGGGUAACACUAACUGGAGGACCGAACCGACUAAUGUUGAAAAAUUAGCGGAUGACCUGUGGCUGGGGGUGAAAGGCCAAUCAAACCGGGAGAUAGCUGGUUCUCCCCGAAAGCUAUUUAGGUAGCGCCUCGUGAAUUCAUCUCCGGGGGUAGAGCACUGUUUCGGCUAGGGGGCCAUCCCGGCUUACCAACCCGAUGCAAACUGCGAAUACCGGAGAAUGUUAUCACGGGAGACACACGGCGGGUGCUAACGUCCGUCGUGAAGAGGGAAACAACCCAGACCGCCAGCUAAGGUCCCAAAGUCAUGGUUAAGUGGGAAACGAUG